ACGAACGCUGGCGGCGUGCCUAACACAUGCAAGUCGAACGGAGAUAUGAUUUCGGUUGUAUCUUAGUGGCGAACGGGUGAGUAACGCGUGAGCAACCUGACUCUUAGAGGGGGAUAACACUCGGAAACGGGUGCUAAUACCGCAUAAGACCACGACAUGGCAUCAUGACGAGGUCAAAGGAGCAAUCCGCUGAGAGAGGGGCUCGCGUCCCAUUAGAUAGAUGGCGGGGUAACGGCCCACCAUGUCAGCGAUGGGUAGCCGAGCUGAGAGGCUGAUCGGCCACACUGGAACUGAGACACGGUCCAGACUCCUACGGGAGGCAGCAGUGGGGAAUAUUGGGCAAUGGGCGCAAGCCUGACCCAGCAACGCCGCGUGAGGGAAGAAGGCUUUCGGGUUGUAAAGUGCUUUUUGAAAGGAUGAGGAAGGACAGUACUUUCAGAAUAAGCUUCGGCUAACUACGU
Molecule: ribosomal RNA, 461 nt
Filed under: uncultured bacterium
Lineage: Bacteria
Description: bacterial SSU rRNA
Rfam family: Bacterial small subunit ribosomal RNA
Source: RNAcentral